RNAcentral lists this ribosomal RNA (612 nucleotides) under uncultured Arcobacter sp. RNAcentral describes it as "bacterial SSU rRNA". It matches the Rfam family "Bacterial small subunit ribosomal RNA", at positions 135 to 769 of the family's 1533-position model. The record is from RNAcentral. Lineage: Bacteria; Pseudomonadati; Campylobacterota; Epsilonproteobacteria; Campylobacterales; Arcobacteraceae.
AGAGAGGAUACGUUUGGAACGAACGCUAAUACCCUAUAUGCCUUUAAGACAUAUGUCUGCAAGGGAAAUAUUUAUAGCUCUAGGAUGAGACUGUACGGUAUCAGUUAGUUGGUGAGGUAAUGGCUCACCAAGACAAUGACGCCUAACUGGUUUGAGAGGAUGAUCAGUCACACUGGAACUGAGACACGGUCCAGACUCCUACGGGAGGCAGCAGUGGGGAAUAUUGCACAAUGGAGGAAACUCUGAUGCAGCAACGCCGCGUGGAGGAUGACACUUUUCGGAGCGUAAACUCCUUUUAUAUAGGAAGAUAAUGACGGUACUAUAUGAAUAAGCACCGGCUAACUCCGUGCCAGCAGCCGCGGUAAUACGGAGGGUGCAAGCGUUACUCGGAAUCACUGGGCGUAAAGAGCGUGUAGGCGGAUAAAUAAGUUGGGAGUGAAAUCCUAUGGCUCAACCAUAGAACUGCUUUCAAAACUGUUUAUCUAGAAUAUGGGAGAGGUAGAUGGAAUUUCUGGUGUAGGGGUAAAAUCCGUAGAGAUCAGAAGGAAUACCGAUUGCGAAGGCGAUCUACUGGAACAUUAUUGACGCUGAGACGCGAAAGCGUGGGGGAGC